CUCGUAUGCGUUCUUUUGUACAUAGUCAUCGAACAAAAAUAUCUAAAGUUGGCUAUUGGUUUAUAAAAGGCGUGCUAGCACUUUCAUUAAAUCACACUAAAGUGUCAAACGCUCGAUUCAAGGCUACUCUUAGCAAUCCAUGGWCAGAACGAAUACGAGCAUCACAGACAUGCAUAUUAGAUAUUAUACAUAUWUCCUGUUUGUUCUACUGUUGCUGGUCGCCUUGAAAUCUGAGGUCAGCGYUGGAAAGCACUAUGACGAGGCUCGACUCAUCAUGUUUCCCUUAAGAUCAACUUGAGAAAGAGAUCAUGGAGGUCUGCCCAGGCCAUGACGGUGAGCUGAAUSAUGAUGCGAACCUAGGAAAAUGGAAUUCAGUGACGAUUGAAGAAAGAGCGCUCAAGAAACUUCAAUAUCCUAAAGAUUGCAAGCGAGAUAAGUUGGUUAACUUUGCCACUAAAUGCGGCUUGCGAGUUGUACCUGGUGCAAAACACAUCAAGGUGUAUUCUGGAGACAAAUAUUUGACGACCAUCCCUCARACUGUCAAGCAAAAUCCAACAUGCGAGAGWAUCAUCAACGUACUGAAUGGCGAAUGCCUGAAGUAACUGUACCUAACCAGACAAUGCUUAGAUAUGCAAUAAAUUACUUAACUUUGUAAUUUUUUUUAUUGACUAAUAACUUUUCCAGGCUUUUUUAUCCGACAGCAUCAACAUUUGUUCGUCAACGGCACCGAUUUCGUACAGUGAAUUUCAUUCUUUGUGUAUUUUUUUUUUUUUUUUUUUUGAAUUAGUGUUUUAAAAGUAUUCAACCUUUUAUCUCGAUUUCUUCUUAAUGUUUCCCUUCUAAAAGGUAAAGAAUUAAAGACUUUUUUGGUA
RNA transcript from Exaiptasia diaphana, 872 nucleotides. RefSeq lists it as uncharacterized. The record is from RefSeq and is a predicted model, not a curated record. The transcript has 3 exons. NCBI's taxonomy places the organism in Eukaryota, Metazoa, Cnidaria, Anthozoa, Actiniaria, Aiptasiidae.